Molecule: non-coding RNA, 31 nt
Filed under: Homo sapiens (human)
Lineage: Eukaryota; Metazoa; Chordata; Mammalia; Primates; Hominidae
Source: RNAcentral
UGCUAUCUCUAUUCACUUUGCCCUUAUGCCU